UGGGCGUUAAGUUGCAGGGUAUAGACCCGAAACCCGGUGAUCUAGCCAUGGGCAGGUUGAAGGUUGGGUAACACUAACUGGAGGACCGAACCGACUAAUGUUGAAAAAUUAGCGGAUGACCUGUGGCUGGGGGUGAAAGGCCAAUCAAACCGGGAGAUAGCUGGUUCUCCCCGAAAGCUAUUUAGGUAGCGCCUCGUGAAUUCAUCUCCGGGGGUAGAGCACUGUUUCGGCUAGGGGGCCAUCCCGGCUUACCAACCCGAUGCAAACUGCGAAUACCGGAGAAUGUUAUCACGGGAGACACACGGCGGGUGCUAACGUCCGUCGUGAAGAGGGAAACAACCCAGACCGCCAGCUAAGGUCCCAAAGUCAUGGUUAAGUGGGAAACGAUGUGGGAAGGCCCAGACAGCCAGGAUGUUGGCUUAGAAGCAGCCAUCAUUUAAAGAAAGCGUAAUAGCUCACUGGUCGAGUCGGCCUGCGCGGAAGAUGUAACGGGGCUAAACCAUGCACCGAAGCUGCGGCAGCGAACGUAUCACCCAAGACAACUUUACGGAGUUGACGAUUGACGGAGCGAAGCGACGUCAAAGCGUUCAUUAAAGUCGAGUUGGCUUAGGGAUACGUUCGUUGGGUAGGGGAGCGUUCUGUAAGCCUGUGAAGGUGUGUCGUGAGGCAUGCUGGAGGUAUCAGAAGUGCGAAUGCUGACAUAAGUAACGAUAAAGCGGGUGAAAAGCCCGCUCGCCGGAAGACCAAGGGUUCCUGUCCAACGUUAAUCGGGGCAGGGUGAGUCGACCCCUAAGGCGAGGCCGAAAGGCGUAGUCGAUGGGAAACGGGUUAAUAUUCCCGUACUUGGUGUUACUGCGAAGGGGGGACGGAGAAGGCUAUGUUGGCCGGGCGACGGUUGUCCCGGUUUAAGCGUGUAGGUGUGUGUUCCAGGUAAAUCCGGUUCACUUUAACACUGAGGCGUGACGACGAGGCACUACGGUGCUGAAGCAACAAAUGCCCUGCUUCCAGGAAAAGCCUCUAAGCAUCAGGUAACAC
Molecule: ribosomal RNA, 1035 nt
Filed under: Salmonella enterica subsp. enterica serovar Typhimurium
Lineage: Bacteria; Pseudomonadati; Pseudomonadota; Gammaproteobacteria; Enterobacterales; Enterobacteriaceae
Description: partial 23S ribosomal RNA
Rfam family: Bacterial large subunit ribosomal RNA
Source: RNAcentral